CCGCCGGCCGCGCUCGCCGCCACGGCCGGUGCCCGCCUCCGCUGCGGGGACGCCGCGCUUGGGAAGCUGCCCGGAGCGCGGGGGUGCAGCGCAGCUCGGCCGAGUACAUGCGGACACUUCACUUGCAGCCAUGCCUGUCCCGGGAGCUUUCUGGCUGUUACCGAGCCCAAACAUCCUCAGAGCCACAUGGUUUUGUUAAGCUACUGGAAGUAACUUUUGCCUGGGAUUUACAGCAGCAUUCCCUCCCGGCCCGGCCCCUGCGGACUCCAGCAGGCUCGCUGCCUAACAGUUAUGAAGACUCCUCGAUGCGUUUCAUGUGACCUUUGGGCAGACCGUGGAGCUUUCUAUUUUAUUUUGUGGGGCCUUGAGUCGGGAUCCUCGUAAGGCGUGCUUGGAAGUGGUCAUACCGGAACUCGGGCGCGCACAGAAAUAGUGCCAGAGAAACCAGAUACGCCGUAACUUUCUGCCUGAUACCUGUUGGGCUUCGUGUCUAAACUUCGGCAGUGUUUGGGGGCCUUUUUAUUUCUUGGGAACUUCCAGCCGUGAAGAGGAGCUCUGUGUUUUAUUAAUUACCUUCGAGAACUCUACCCGGAGUCAGACUGUGAGCAUGAGCUUCUAAGGGAAAAGUAAAGCUCGUCUCCAAACUUGAAUGAAGCGCUUCUGGCAUGUGGGAGAUGGAAGGGAUCGACUGCAUUUGGAAGGGAACGGUACCGGAGCGAGCCUUCUCGUCACCAUAAAUUCAAGGAAUGCCGCCUGCCUAAUUUCUGGGAAGGAUACCAAUCGCUGCGCAUAACAUUCAGGGUUGUGCUUAUGCUGUGGGAAUGCUGGCAAGAAGGUGAGGUGUCUCUCGAGGGUAUUUGGGAUGGAUAUUUUGGACCUGUGGAUCUUCCUAACUCUUGGCCAGGAGACAGGAGGCCUCCACAUCCGCGGGGAGACCUCCGUGUGCCUCAUCUCCGUGGGACCGAGGAGUUCCUAAUGCUCCCUGUGCACCCAAACUGACUCCUCGCUUACAACCUGUUUCCUUGAUCCUUCUGGAUUUAUCUGCCGGAGGAGAGACUCACAAUUUAGGAUACUGGGCUGGUUUUGUUUUUUUUUUUAGUUUGUUUGUUUAAAAUAUGCCUGUGAGCUCGCGGCGGCCUCUGAGCACGUGGCACGGGGCGAGCGGAGCGCGGAUGGCGAGAGCCGGGGAGCCGCGGUGAGCGAGCCCCGCUGUGAGCGGAGCGCCGGGAGCGCCGGGCCCGCCGCGCUGAGGACGCGUUCCCGAGCGGUAUGAGCGGC
Molecule: long non-coding RNA, 1278 nt
Filed under: Parus major (Great Tit)
Lineage: Eukaryota; Metazoa; Chordata; Aves; Passeriformes; Paridae
Description: lncRNA (ENSPMJG00000018854.1)
Source: RNAcentral